This 70-nucleotide transfer RNA is filed under the name Marmota monax (woodchuck). RNAcentral's name for it is "tRNA.Ala". Lineage: Eukaryota; Metazoa; Chordata; Mammalia; Rodentia; Sciuridae. The record is from RNAcentral.
GGGCUGGGGCUCAGUGGUAGAGCACAUGUCUAGCCUGUGUGAGGCACUGGGUUCGAUCCUCAGCACCACA